GACGAACGCUGGCGGCGUGCUUAACACAUGCAAGUCGAACGGAAAGGCCCUGCUUUUGUGGGGUGCUCGAGUGGCGAACGGGUGAGUAACACGUGAGUAACCUGCCCUUGACUUUGGGAUAACUUCAGGAAACUGGGUCUAAUACCGGAUAGGAUCUCCUGCUGCAUGGGGGGGGUUGGAAAGUUUCGGCGGUUGUGGCUGGACUCGCGGGUUAUCAGCUUGUUGGUGGGGUAGGGGCUUACCAAGGCUUUGACGGGUAGCCGGCCUGAGAGGGUGACCGGCCACAUUGGGACUGAGGUACGGAGCAGAAGCCAACGGGCGGCAGCAGUGGGGAACAUUGCAGAAUGGCAGGACGCCAGAUGCAGCAACGCCGCGUGCGGGAUGACGGCCUUCGGGUUGUAAACCGCUUUCGAAUGAGACGAAGAGUGAGUGACGGUAAUGGGUAAAGAAGCACCGGCUAACUACGUG
Molecule: ribosomal RNA, 468 nt
Filed under: uncultured bacterium
Lineage: Bacteria
Description: partial 16S ribosomal RNA
Rfam family: Bacterial small subunit ribosomal RNA
Source: RNAcentral